RNAcentral lists this ribosomal RNA (816 nucleotides) under Starmerella lactis-condensi. RNAcentral describes it as "LSU rRNA". It matches the Rfam family "Eukaryotic large subunit ribosomal RNA", at positions 35 to 966 of the family's 3401-position model. The record is from RNAcentral. Lineage: Eukaryota; Fungi; Ascomycota; Dipodascomycetes; Dipodascales; Trichomonascaceae.
UUAGCAUAUCAAUAAGCGGAGGAAAAGAAACCAACAGGGAUUGCUCUAGUAACGGCGAGUGAACAAGCAAAAGCUCAGUUUUGAAAGCCUACUUUGUAGGCAUUGUAUUCUGAAGCCUAGAUUCUGGGAAACGGUGUUUAAGUCUUCUGGAAAGGAGCGCCACGGAGGGUGAUAGCCCCGUACGGCACUGACCCCAUUGUAGUUUCUAGGCGUGGAGUCGAGUUGUUUGGGAAUGCAGCUCAAAUGGGAGGUAUGCUCCUUCUAAAGCUAAAUAUUUGCGAGAGACCGAUAGCGAACAAGUACUGUGAAGGAAAGAUGAAAAGAACUUUGAAAAGAGAGUGAAAUAGGACGUGAAAUUGUUGAAAUGGAAGGGUAGGCUGCUAACCAUGUAGGACCGUGUCUGAGGGGAAGAUAAAAGCUACGGAAUGUGACUCUUCGGAGUGUUAUAGCCGUGGUCAAUGUUCCCACUUAGGCGCGAGGAUCUCAGGUUCUACUAAAUGGUGGUCUACCACCCGUCUUGAAACACGGACCAAGGAGUCUAUUGCCUGCGCGAGUAUUUGGGUGUCAAACCCAUAUGCGAAGUGAAAGCGAGUGGUUCUAACUUUUUGUUCAGAAUCGGCCGACCGUUCAUAGGAACGGAUUGAGUUGAGCGCAAGUGAUGGGACCCGAAAGAUGGUGAACUAUGCCUGAAUAGGGUGAAGCCAGAGGAAACUCUGGUGGAGGCUCGCAGCGGUUCUGACGUGCAAAUCGAUCGUCAAAUUUGGGUAUAGGGGCGAAAGACUAAUCGAACCAUCUAGUAGCUGGUUCCUGCCGAGU